Molecule: ribosomal RNA, 433 nt
Filed under: uncultured bacterium
Lineage: Bacteria
Description: partial 16S ribosomal RNA
Rfam family: Bacterial small subunit ribosomal RNA
Source: RNAcentral
AACGAACGCUGGCGGCAUGCCUAACACAUGCAAGUCGAACGAGACCUUCGGGUCUAGUGGCGCACGGGUGCGUAACGCGUGGGAACCUGCCCUUAGGUUCGGAUUAACUCCCCGAAAGGGGUGCUAAUACCGGAUAAUGUCUUCGGACCAAAGAUUUAUCGCCUUUGGAUGGGCCCGCGUUGGAUUAGCUAGUUGGUAGGGUAAAAGCCUACCAAGGCGACGAUCCAUAGCUGGUCUGAGAGGAUGAUCAGCCACACUGGGACUGAGACACGGCCCAGACUCCUACGGGAGGCAGCAGUGGGGAAUAUUGGACAAUGGGCGAAAGCCUGAUCCAGCAAUGCCGCGUGAGUGAAGAAGGCCUUAGGGUUGUAAAGCUCUUUUACCCGGGAUGAUAAUGACAGUACCGGGAGAAUAAGCUCCGGCUAACUCCGUG